This 468-nucleotide ribosomal RNA is filed under the name uncultured bacterium. RNAcentral's name for it is "partial 16S ribosomal RNA". It matches the Rfam family "Bacterial small subunit ribosomal RNA", at positions 28 to 507 of the family's 1533-position model. The record is from RNAcentral.
GACGAACGCUGGCGGCGUGCUUAACACAUGCAAGUCGAACGGAAAGGCCCGGCUUUUGUUGGGGGCUCGAGUGGCGAACGGGUGAGUAACACGUGAGUCACCUGCCCUUGACGUUGGGAUAACUUCAAUAAACUGGGGCUAAUACCGGUAAUGAGCUCCUGCUCCACGGGGGGGGUUGGGAAGUUUCGGCGGUUGGGGUUGGAGUCGCGGCUUAUCAGGUUGUUGGUCGGGUAGUUGCUUACCAAGGCGUCGACGGGUAGCCGGCCUGAGAGGCUGACCGGCCAUAUUGCGACGAAGCUACGGCCCAGACGCCGACGGGAAGCAGGAGUGGUGAGUAUAACACAGUGGGCGGGAGCCUGCUGCAGCAACGCCGGGUGCGGGGUGAUGGACUUCGGGUGAUCAAGCGCUUUCGCCUGUGAUGAAGCGUGAGUGACGGUAAUGGGUAAAGAAGCACCGGCUAACUACGUG